RNAcentral lists this long non-coding RNA (8034 nucleotides) under Malus domestica (apple). RNAcentral's name for it is "long non-coding RNA (MDOM_LNC010405)". The record is from RNAcentral. Lineage: Eukaryota; Viridiplantae; Streptophyta; Magnoliopsida; Rosales; Rosaceae.
UUUCAUCAUGAUGGUUUUGUUUUGUAGAAGAAAAGAAAGGAACGGAUGGAGAAGAAGAAAAGAAAGGAAUAAAAAAAGGAAAGGAAUAAAAAAUAGAUGAAAGAAGAAUAAGAGGGAGAGUAGGUCAGAGAGGUGGAGCACUGACGGAUUAAAAGAAGAAAAGAAGAGGAAGUGGACAGCAGUGCAGAGAGGAAAAAAAGGAAUAAAAGAAAAACAAAGGAAAAGAACAAGGGGGAGAGCGGAAAGAAUAAGAAAAUAAAGGGGAGAGAAGUGAGGGCAGAGGGCAGCACGGAAGGAAGAGGAGAGAACUGACAGGAAGCUGCCUUGCAGCACGAGAAGGGCGCAGACGGGUUGGGCAGCGAGAAAGGCAGAGAGAAGCAGCAAGGCUGCAGAGAAGAACAAAAACAAAGGCAGAAAAUAAAGAGGAGAGACAGCUGCCUUGCGGCAGCAGAAAACGGAAAAAAGAGAGGCGGAAAGGAAAUUGGGCGGAGAGGAGCUGCCUUUGGCAGCGUGGAGGUCAGGAAGAAGGUCAGGUAGGGAGAGAGAGAAGAGACUGACACGGACGCGGAAAGGAAAGCAGGGUAGGACAGGGAGAUAGACACGGGGAGGUCAGCGAGAAGAAAAAGACGAAGGCUGCCCUUGGCAGCGCAGAAAUAUAGGAGAAGGGAGCCUCGGUGCAGGUGCCUUGCGGUGCAUGUAGCUGGCGGUGCAAAGACAAGAAACAAAGGCUGCUCUUGCAGCAGAGGACACGAGGUUGCUGCUUCCUCUCGGCAUCUGGCAGCGUGAGCACUUGGAAAGGUUUGUGCAAUGUGAAUGACUGAGAGAAACAAGAGCUGCCCCGUGGCAGCUGGUGGGAGCAAAACAGAAGCUCCAAAGCAAGGAAAGGAAAACAGAAGCCACGGACAGAAGCAAAAAAAAAAAACUCCCUUAUCUUCCGGUUAAAUCUUUCCAAACUUAUAUUUUAUUUUCUGUUUUAAUAAUGUGUAACUAAAUUUAUUUUGGCUAGAGGUUAAUUCAAAGCCAUGAAUAUAUUUGUAAUAUGAAUUGAUUACCUUCAGUUGUGAUUUCUGAGUUGUGAUUUAAUUUGCUUAACUGCUUGAUUUUUAUAACUUAUUUUUGUAUGUCGAUUAAGGAUGCAUACUUAAUUUACAUGCAUGAAUUUGAUGCUAGAAUAUAAGUGAAUUUCACCUAAUCGUUAUGAACUUAUAUUCACAAGUAGUGAAGGUUGCUAGUCACAAUCACGUUAAGUAAAUUCUUGGCAUAAGUUUCAUGCAAAUCAUAGUAACGAGUGCCUCGUCAAUGCUUAUGUUUUUCAUAGAACUUAAUGAUUCUUGCUUGUAUCUCUAUUAUGCAAUUCAUGUAGGGAACUUGUAGGGAAUGUUUUGGGUUGUCGUAUGCAAUCAUCCAACCCAAUAACAUUGUGGAAAAACUGAGGGUUAAUUAGUGCAAUUCACGGUUAAUUUGGGGCGUUGAGAUUUACAAUUUAUUGAAAGAACAACUGAAAAUCAAUUUAGGUUGCAUAUGUGUCAUGUGUGGAGAAGAACCCUCUAGCUAAUCCGUCACUUAUCAUUUCACCUUAAUUUCAUGCUUUUGUCAAUUCUGUAAUUUAUUUAAGUUUAAUUUACGUCUCGUCAAAACCAAACCCCCCAUUAUUAAAUUAUAUUAUUUAGUUAGUUUUCAUUGUUGUUAGUCUUUUAAUUUAAUUUCCGUCCAUUUCAGUUCCUAGUGUCUAAAUUGAUUGUUUUCAUUAUGUUGAGUCAUUCUAAGUGUGUUUCGAGUUAUUAGAGUUUUUAGCCUAGUUUUGUGUCCUUGAGUAUUAUUUAAUAUUUUUAAUAGAUUAGCAAUCCCUCCUAAUCCCCGGCCUAGAACGAUACCCUACUUACAUCUAUACUACAAUUGUCAAAAAGAUGGUUUAAUUUGUGUGCUUAUAUAUUUCGCAUCAAAUUUUGGCGCCGUUGCCGGGGAUUAGCAACUUUGCUAAUCCCUUUAUUUUUGUUUUUGUUUAUGUUUAUAUUGGUGUUUGUGUAUUUUACUUUUGAUAUUUGAUUUAUUUUUCUUUCUUUGAUUUUAGGUACAAAUGGAGCAAGACAUGGCAAUUGCGACCAUUCAAGCUCAAUUGGCACAGCUCACUGCUCAAUUGACUCAUAAUGCCGAACGGACCACAAUGCCAAGUGUCCCUACACUUGAUGUGCCCUAUGGGCAAAGAUAUCAAAGUCCUCAAUUUUCUGCCAAUGAAGAUGCUUGGGGUUAUCAAGGCUAUGAUCAACCAAGCAGCAACAUGUUUUCCAACGCUUACAAUUCGGCUUGAAGAGAUCAUUCAAAUUAUAUGUGGGGGGAACCUCAACAAUUCCAACAAGAGGGAUAUUGGCAGCAAGAGGAGGAUUUCUAUUCAAAACCUAUGCAAUAUGCUCAAUCAAACUCAGGUUAUUGGCAGCAAGAGGAGGAUUUAUAAUCAAAUUCUUAAUGAAUUAAAUUCUUUGGUGCAGGGCUCACAAAAUCAAGACAAGAAGUUGGAUAAAUUGAAGAGUCAAAUGGGAGAGAUUAUGGAAUUCAUGGUACAAAUUCAAGAGCAAAGUGAACUCUCCAGCCCAACUGUUGAAAAUUUGAAGGAAGAUUUUGAAAUCCACGAUGCUAUCACUUUGGAAGGUGACAUGAAGGAUGAAGCUGUCUAGAACCAUCCAAACACAGCCCGAACAUGGAUGAAUUGCUGCUGCAGCAGAAGAGGAGGAGGACGACCUGGGCAGUUUAGAAGAAUUCUUGCUGCAAGCUCCUCAAAUCCCUAUGUCAUCCAACUCAGGUGAGGAAGUUCUAAAUUCACUUCAUUCUAACAUUAUUCCACCGAAUGUCCUUUGUCCUUGCAGGUUUUUGAUUCCAAAUAUCAAAGAGAGUGAAAAAGACAUUGUGGAAGCUCUUCCAAAGGUGCAAAGUGAUAUCCCAAUUCUUGGUGCACCAAAACAAGUUCCCGAUGGUAUUGAAACGUUCAAAGAACCUUGCACACCAAGAAAAGGGAUUCAAGAGAAUGAAGUGGUUGAAGCAUAUCAAGAAUACAUCCAAGAGGUUGUGCAUGAGACAAUCAAGCCCAAAGCAGUUGAGUUUGAUGACACAGGACAAGCCACAACCAUCAUAGUAAACCUGGCCAAGUUCAAAGUCCCGGAAAUGUUCAAAAAUGUGGUGUUUGUCAUUGAGUUUGUGUCGGAAAAAGAAAGUAAGCCAUCUUCUCCAAUUUCAAUUUUAAUUUAUACUAACAUGUUUCUGAUUUUGAUGAUUCAGGCACCCACUAUUGAAUUUAAACCAUUGCCGAAUCAUUUCAAGUAUCACCUCCCAUUAAAAGAUAAAUUCCAUGCUUUGGAGCCGAGGGGAAUUUAAAGGAAAGAUUCGUCCCGCUAAAAACGUUAAAUCAAGCGCUUCUUGGGAGGCAACCCAAGCAUUCAACGAAGGGAGACUUUGGAAUCGCUAACCAAAUCAGAUUUGAAUUCUUACACCCUUAUCUUUACUGCUUUCAUUUUGUUUUGUUUAGUUAGUUGUGUUAUUUGGUUGAUUUCUGUGAGUUUGUGUUAUUUAGUUUAAGUGUGGGGGAAAGUUAACCAAAGUUUUUUUUACAUUGAUUUACAUAUUUUACAUUGAUUAAAAAAAACAAAAAAAAAACAAAACACACCAAAAAAAUAAAAAUAAAUAAAAAUAAAAAACAUAAAAAAAAUAAAAAACAUAAAAAAAAAAAAAUAUCUUACAAUGAUGUGUAAACUAAUAGCUUUCAUUGGUCAGGUGGUGCUUCAGUAGUCGGCGGAGCUUCAGCAGUCGGCGGGACCACGGAAGGAGGAGGUAUCGGAGGUUGAUCAGUUGGAGCUUCACUACGCGGUGUAGCCCCAGAAGACGAAGGCAGAUGCUGUUGGAACAAACCCACAAACCUCCGAUGAUCAAGUAAAAUUUGACCAUCAGUGUCCUGCAUCUGGUCAAUUUUCCUCUUCAUGUUUGUGGCAUAACUGUGUGCAAGCUUAUGCAAUUGUUUAUUUUCAUGCUUGAGUCCUCUAAUCUCCUCUUUGAGACUCUGUAUUUCAGCCACCAACGAUUCAACGUGACGGGUUCGAGCAAAUAGGCGUUGGGCCAUGUUGGACACAGAACCCGCACACUGCACGCUAAGAGCCAGAGACUCCUUAACCGCCAAUUCAUCAGACCGUCUAGCGAGCAGUCUGUUAUCUCUGGGAGUGACAAGGUUCCGGGCCACCACCGCAGCGGUCGUGUCAUUUUUCAUCACCGAAUCCCCAACGGUAAGAGGACCGGUAGGGGAUAUGAAAGAUGGGCGCCAUAUGUUGUCUGGUGAAGGCGGAGCUGCCUCUUCACCAAUGUUCAAGUCAAAACGACGAUCGGACGGGCCAGACAUUUUCUGAAGGUGGUGAAGAAAGAAGAGAGUCGGACUGAUUAAGAUUUUGGAAGUUUACAGGAGGGAGUGUUUACAAGAGGGAGCUCAAGUGUGUUGUGGAACAAAAUUAGCGCCUCUAUAAAAAGAAGAAAUCGGAGAGGCGCUCCUCAGAGAAGCGUCCUCUCGCAAAUCGAAGAGUCGGGGCUCCUUUCUCAAAAGCCGGAUUCUUUUCUCAAAAGAGGCGUUGCAUUUCUCAAAAGCUGGGCUUGCUCAGAAACCACGAGCCGAACCCCGGAUUUCAAAAGAUCAAUUUGUCCAGACGUGUCGUCACUCGUCACAUGCAACUGGCAGCUUUGCGGAAAUUACGGGCAGCUUUGUCAGAAAGCGCGUAAUUUGUACUAUUCAUCCAUCCACCGGCUGCCGACAAUGAAUGAAAGAAUAGUUCCGGUUGUGAAGAAAAGUCCUAUAAGUAUCUACCUUCGCCUUCCACAGCAAAGGCACACCCUCUCAGCACUUCUUCCUCUCUGAAAUGGCUUUCCAACAAACCCUCUUAAGUCACUCUGUAUUUUUCAUCCCUUGGGAUACCCCUGCAAACAACCCAUCCAAAGCAAAAGUAUUUCAUAUCAUGAAGGUUGAAAGCAAGAGUAUCUCAUAUCAUGCUUUCUCCCUGUCCUUUUCCUUGUCUUUGUUUUACGACAAGGAGAAAGAGAGCAAUCAGCCAGCAUUUGGUAUCAAUCUUCCGAUCUGGAGCCAACUGCCUAGAACCCCUUCCUGAUUGCUUACCUAGCCUUGCUCUCGAGUACUCAUCUUCAUCAUUUUAUGCUUUCUCUUCGUCUACCACAUCUGCCUGGGGGACAGUAAGGGAAGUGAAAAUGAUACCUCGAAGCAUGUGGAGACAAUUCAGCUAGGGACAAGGAGAAAGAGAGCAAGAGGUGGGUACUUGGAAAGAUUGAAGAAAGAAACAGACCAACACCUCUCCCUCGUGCCUGCCCGUUGUGCAGAAGAAACAAGCAGAGAAGAAUGCAGCUCGUACAAUCAACUCAGCACAAGGAGUCCGAGCUGAAGAACAAGAGAAGCUGCCACAUCUGCUUGGAGAACAAAUAAGGAACUGCAACAUCACCAAAGAGAAAAGCUUCGCCGUACAAUAUCAUCAAAUCAUCACUUGCAAGUAAAAAGCUAAGUGUCACCCUGUUCAAGAGGAAAGCUGUGGAAAGUCAACAAGCACGACCAAUGAUCACUUAUUAGUUCUAUUCAUUGUCUUUUAUCGUGAUUUUCAAUUUUUCGUUUGCAAAUUUUUUUUUUUAUAUUUUCUUGUGUUACUUAACUGAAUUAUUUCUUUUCUUUGCAGGAACUUUUGGUUAUUUCCACCCUUGAAGUUGAUUGCAGAAUUUUAGCUUGGGGGUCAUCGCUUGAUUUUACUGCAACUUAGGGAAGUUUUCAGUCCAAUUGUUUUAUUUUGUUUCUUAUUAUUUAUUUAUUUUAUUUUUAUUUGCAUUAUAGUGUUUUCUGACAUUGGGGACAAUGUCCAGUUUAAGUUUGGGGGUAAAGAGUAUAAAAAAUGACCAAAUUGAAAUUUUUUGUACCUUCAACUACGAACUGGUUUCAUUUGUUUCUGUGUUGUUGCUUUUUGUUUUCUUAAUUAGUUUUGUUUUCUUUUAAAAAAAAGAAAAAAAAAAGAAAAAAAUCGGAAAAUUUAAAAAUCCAAAAAUAUUGUCUUGUUUCCCUUAUUGUUUGAAUUAGAUUUUUGUUAGUUUCCCGACCCAAUGAUAUAAUUGGAUCAAAUUUGAACCAUGAUCAUCAAGAACUUAGUUAACAUGUGUUUUGUGAAAUUCCUAAUUCUCUUGUUAGUUUUGUACAUGUUUGAUCAUCUUUGAAAAACCAAAUGCACAUAGCCUUGUUAAUGUGAAACUAAAGUAUGACUUAAAGCUUCAUAUGUGAAUUUAGUGACCAUAUACAUCCUAUGUGAGUUUUUGAGCCUAUUGAAAGUGUGUGCAUUUUUCAUACACUCCUAUUCUUUCAUGUGUGAUGAACUUAUGUGACAUACAUCUCUAGAACUUGCGUAACGAUCUUUCGAAAUGUUUGUCAUUGAUUGCAUGAACUUGGAAAUGAUAGAGGCAUUAGGUUUACCACCAUGACCCAAAUAACCAUGUUUCCCAAAGAAAAAUGAUAUCAUUAGAUUGCCAAUUUGAGCCGUGUAUGUUGAGCCUUUUAUUUCUUAUCACCAGAUAUGUCUACCCUUAUACCUGAAACAUUUUUCCUUACCCUUUCCAAGCGAGCAAUGCGAGAUUAUCUUAUGAGAAACGUUUGUGAAGUACUUUGAAGGUGUUUGGCAAAAGAAUAAGUGUGGGGGUAUUUCAUGUUUGUAUAUAAAAAAAAAAUAAUUAAAAAAAAAAAAAAAAAGAGAAAAGAAAAAGAAAGAUUGUAUACAAAUGAAAUAAAAAGUUUUUAAAGUUUCAGUUUUAGGGUGUGGAUGGAGGUGCUAGAAGAAUUGCUGGAGAGCUUGAGUUCUUAUAAAUCUAAAGAAAAGAAUUGCUUGCAAUGUAGCUUGGAACUUGUGUUUUCCUAUUCUUUCGUUUCAAUAACCCUAUCCCUAAGCCUCAUUACAUCCAAUAAAAGUCAUCUUGAUUUAAGUUUUGCAAUUAUGACUGUGGAGAAGUGAUCUUUAUGCAAGCUUAUGGUAGAAAUUUCACAUUUGAUUCUUUGAGCGAAACACAUUAAAACUAAACACAUAUGUGAUUGAGUGUAUAUCCCGUGAGAAGGUUACUAGUUUGCAUAUGAUGAUUUUAAAAAUAAAAACUUGAAAUUGCAUUAGCAUGGCUAUCUCACACACUACACUUCAAGGAUGAUUCAAAGAUUACUGCUAAUAUUUGAAUAAGGAAGAUGAACUUGGAUUAACUUGUUUGGUGCUAGCUAUGGUUCUUGAUGAUUUGUGUUCUCAAAUGAAAUUCUAUGAGGAUCACAUAGGGGGAAACUAAUGUUUUUCAUGUUAGUACUUUUUCAUGUUUUCUUUGUUUUGCUCGAGGACUAGCAAAAGCUAAGUAUGGGGGUAUUUGAUCGGAUCAUAUUUAUAUAUAUUUUUACUUCAAAUUCACUCGUCUUUUCUUAGUUAGUUCCUUAUAUUUUUGAGCUAUUUACGUUAUUUUUGUGUUUAUAGGAUUUGUUAUGCAAAGAAAAUAAAAAUAGAACAAGUGAAAUUUUAUGUAAUAAAUUCGUCAAAACUGUCUGUGUAGAUCAACUUUUAAAUUAAAUUAAAAAAAAAUAUAAUAAUGAUAAGUCAUGAUGAUGUUUCAUCAUGAUGGUUUUGUUUUGUAGAAGAAAAGAAAGGAACGGAUGGAGAAGAAGAAAAGAAAGGAAUAAAAAAAAGGAAAGGAAUAAAAAAUAGAUGAAAGAAGAAUAAGAGGGAGAGUAGGUCAGAGAGGUGGAGCACUGACGGAUUAAAAGAAGAAAAGAAGAGGAAGUGGACAGCAGUGCAGAGAGGAAAAAAAGGAAUAAAAGAAAAACAAAGGAAAGAAACAAGGGGGAGAGCGGAAAGAAUAAGAAAAUAAAGGGGAGAGAAGUGAGGGCAGAGGGCAGCACGGAAGGAAGAGGAGAGAACUGACAGGAAGCUGCCUUGCAGCACGAGAAGGGCGCAGACGGGUUGGGCAGCGAGAAAGGCAGAGAGAAGCAGCAAGGCUGCA